This 497-nucleotide ribosomal RNA is filed under the name uncultured bacterium. RNAcentral describes it as "partial 16S ribosomal RNA". It matches the Rfam family "Bacterial small subunit ribosomal RNA", at positions 28 to 507 of the family's 1533-position model. The record is from RNAcentral.
GAUGAACGCUGGCGGCGUGCCUAAUACAUGCCAGUCGAGCGAACAGAUGAGGAUCUUUCUCCUCUGACGUUAGCGGCGGACGGGUGAGUAACACGUGGAUAACCUACCUAUAAGACUGGGAUAACUUCGGGAAACCGGAGCUAAUACCGGAUAAUAUAUUGAACCUCAUGGUUCAAUAGUGAAAUACGGUUUUGCUGUCACUUAUAGAUGGAUCCGCCCCGCAUUAGCUAGUUGGUAAGGUAACGGCUUACCAAGGCAACGAUGCGUAGCCGACCUGAGAGGAUGAUCGGCCCCCCUGGAACUGAGACACGGCCCAGACUCCUACGGGAGGCAGCAGUAGGGAAUCUACCGCAAUGGGAGAAAGCCUGACGGAGCAAAGCCGCGUGAGUGAUGAAGGUCUUCGGAUCGUAAAACUCUGUUAUUAGGGAAGAACAAAUGUGUAAGUAACUAUGCACGUCUUGACGGUACCUAAUCAGAAAGCCACGGCUAACUACGUG